RNAcentral lists this ribosomal RNA (468 nucleotides) under uncultured bacterium. RNAcentral describes it as "partial 16S ribosomal RNA". It matches the Rfam family "Bacterial small subunit ribosomal RNA", at positions 28 to 507 of the family's 1533-position model. The record is from RNAcentral.
GACGAACGCUGGCGGCGUGCUUAACACAUGCAAGUCGAACGGAAAGGCCCUGCUUUUGUGGGGUGCUCGAGUGGCGAACGGGUGAGUAACACGUGAGUAACCUGCCCUUGACUUUGGGAUAACUUCAGGAAACUGGGGCUAAUACCGGAUAGGAGCUCCUGCUGCACGGGGGGGGUUGGAAAGUUUCGGCGGUUCGGGAUGGACUCGCGGCCUAUCAGCUUGUUGGUGGGGUAGUGGCUUACCAAGGCUUUGACGGGUAGCCGGCCUGAGAGGGUGACCGGCCACAUUGGGACUGAGGUAGGGCCCAGACUCCUACGGGAGGCAGCAGUGGGGAAUAUUGCGCAAUGGGCGGAAGCCUGAUGCAGCAACGCCGCGUGCGGGAUGACGGCCUUCGGGUUGUAAACCGCUUUCGCCUGUAACGAAGCGUGAGUGACGGUAAUGGGUAAAGAAGCACCGGCUAACUACGUG